Molecule: ribosomal RNA, 397 nt
Filed under: Anaulacomera sp. 2 JD-2021a
Lineage: Eukaryota; Metazoa; Arthropoda; Insecta; Orthoptera; Tettigoniidae
Description: partial 12S ribosomal RNA
Rfam family: Microsporidia small subunit ribosomal RNA
Source: RNAcentral
UAUUAUUUUAAUUGUAAAAUUUGGACUUGGGUAGUACUAGAUAAGUGCUUGAAACUCAAAGGAAUUGGCGGUGUUUUAGUCUUUUCAGAGGAAUCUGUCCCGUAAUUGAUAGUACACAUUAUAUUUUACUUGAUUUUGUAAGUCAAUUUGUAUACCGCCGUUAUAAGAUUAUCUUUUUAGAGCAUUAAUUUUCUUGAAAUUUUAAGAUAGUAUGUCAGGUCAAGGUGCAGUUUAUAAUUAAGAGAGAGAUGGAUUACAAUAAAAUAAUUUAUAAUGGAUACUUUUAUGAAAAUGGAGGUUGAAGGUGGAUUUGAAAGUAAUUUUGUUAAAUUAUGAUAAAAUGAUUUAAGCUCUAAAGCAUGCACAUAUCGCCCGUCGCUCUCGUUAUUAAGAUGAG